UACGGAGGGUGCUAGCGUUAAUCGGAAUAACUGGGCGUAGAGGGCACGCAGGCGGGCUUUUAAGUGAGAUGUGAAAUCCCCGGGCUUAACCUGGGAAUAGCAUUUCAGACUGGGAGGCUAGAGUACGGUAGGGGGGGGUAGAAUUCCACGUGUAGCGGUGAAAUGCGUAGAGAUGUGGAGGAAUACCGAAGGCGAAGGCAGCCGCUUGGGAAUGUACUGACGCUGAUGUGCGAAAGCGUGGGGAGCAAACAGG
Molecule: ribosomal RNA, 253 nt
Filed under: uncultured bacterium
Lineage: Bacteria
Description: partial 16S ribosomal RNA
Rfam family: Bacterial small subunit ribosomal RNA
Source: RNAcentral